UUGAACCCAUUCCCGAAAAUAUCUUUCCGGAAAUUUUUUUCCGCCUGAGAGCUGGAAAAAAUUUGCAGAAAUAUUUUUUUGGCCAUUGGCGCUUCUCCUCGCGCCCAGCCUCUCUUCUUGUCUUGCUCUUCUCAUCUUCAUCCUCGGCAGUGCUUCACCCUGCUGCUUGCUCAACCCCCACCGCAGCCUCAACACCACUGCCCGUUACUCCUCCUUGCAUCUUUCUCAUUCUGCUGAAACGAGUCUCGCUCAAAACCCUCUCACUCUCUCACUCGAAACCCUCGCUCCAAGCCCUCGUGUUUUUCUUUUUCACCCAACCUGCCUUUGUCACGCCUUUACCCUUCGUCACUCCUUUACCCUUCUCUUGCACAUCAGCAUGUUAAAUUGUUUACAACCAUAAUGCUAUUGAUGAAAUCUACGUUGAUCUUGCUUUUGCUUUGUUAAGGUGCUGUUUGAUGGUUUAGCCUCGAUGGUUCUUUCAUGAGGUCCAGCAUGAACUUGCUUAUGGAGAACAUAGAUAGUUUAAAAGCUCCCCACCUUAACAAAGCAUAAUCUUAAGUAUUUCUAGCAGAUGCGGAUGCUUGCAAAAGAUCGAGAGAAGCCACCCGAUGGAUUCAUGUGCCCAGGUGGCUGGAAGGUUCUAGUUGAGUACCAUGAAAGUUUUGCUCCUGCAGGUAGCAGCAGCAAAACUCGUGAACCUGUCCCUGUUUAAUAUCAAGUUUGCUGUUGAGAAAACAUAUCUGUGGAACUUCUUUAUAUAAUGUCAAUUCAAAACUAUGCAUUUUCAUAACAGGCUCAACCUAGCACCUUGGGCAACACUUGGCAGACCGGCAUUGUGAUGCUUGUGUUUGUAAAAUAGUUUGCUGCCAUUGAACCUUAAUGGGCAAUAGCAUUUAGAACUAAAGCAGCAACUGAACAGUAUGAUGUUUCUUGUUCUCAAUGGUUGUUUGUCGUUACAAUUCCCUGCUUCCUGAAGGGAUAAGACUGGGCAUUGUUGGUUAUUUAUUUAUUUGAUGUGGUUAUAAUUCAUUUUGUUGUCUCUUU
Long non-coding RNA from Nymphaea colorata (pocket water lily), 1044 nucleotides. RefSeq lists it as uncharacterized. NCBI's taxonomy places the organism in Eukaryota, Viridiplantae, Streptophyta, Magnoliopsida, Nymphaeales, Nymphaeaceae. The transcript has 3 exons. The record is from RefSeq and is a predicted model, not a curated record.